CUUAAGCAUUACGACAUGUUCCUUGUCAUAUAUAAAUAUAUAUUCAUGACAUUUUAAUACUGUGUUUCGUUCAAGCAGUGGGAACCAGACGAACCACCUUCGGAACGUGACUUUCCCCUGCUUAAGAUUUUUGCGAGUCCGCCGCCUGAGAAUUCUGUAUUUAUUGAAGGAUCCCAUCUGGGUUUCUCAUCUGGUGAUUCUUCAAUUUUCUUCUUUAUUUAAUUU
Hibiscus syriacus is the source of this 225-nucleotide long non-coding RNA. RefSeq lists it as uncharacterized. The record is from RefSeq and is a predicted model, not a curated record. The transcript has 3 exons. Lineage: Eukaryota; Viridiplantae; Streptophyta; Magnoliopsida; Malvales; Malvaceae.